ACUCACGAAUCUACAUGUCUUUUGAUUGGUGCUGACAAAUAUGUCGAAUUAGGAAGCUGGUAAGAUUCAGGGUAUAUCGUAUGGGAAUAUGUUCAUACCUCGAUCGGACAAAUCUUACUCGUCGGCGAUCGCCAAGGAGCAGCCGUCUUCUUGUCCGGCGUCGGCUGGUCUGGCAACGUCCGCGCCGCAUUCCUUCGCUCCGACGAUGCUGUCUACGGUGACCUCGACGCUGUCUUUCCUCGUCCUCUCCUUGCUCCUCUCCGCGCCCGUCAUCGCCGCCAUCAGGGCCGUCUGAGGGCUCGCCAAGGAGCAAUAACCGGCGAAUCACCUCGCUCUAAAGAUUGGUAAAAGCAUCAUCUUUAAGGUUAUUGCGGUCUCUGAUCUCAAGAUCAGGUUUUCUUGUUAUUCUUUGAUUAUAUUGCUUCUCUUCCUAAUUCUUAUUUGCUUUCUCUUUCUUUUUUGGAAGAGUUCCGAAUAAGUAAUCUGAAUUGAGUUCGCCUAGUAUUGCAAUAUAGAGCUGUCUAAUUGGGAUGUGAAAUCUUCUGCUGCAAUGAUUGCAUUGUCUCCUGAAAAAUGAUACUUGUUCCAUUUUGGAUUGUUGUUUUCUAUUUCAGCAGAAAGAAGUGCAGAUUAUAAUGUUAGAAUUUCUUCUCUCCAGAUUAUAAUGUUGAUUAGAAAGAAGAGUUUAUGUAAUUUUGUGAUGUAUCUUCCACAACCUAGAUUGAAUGCCUAGAUCUGCAUUGCUAUGGUUCUUUUCUUCUUAUGCUGUGUGUUUCAUUGAUACAUCUGAAACAUGGCUCUGUAAUGGAUGAUGAACAAAUAAGUCGUUAUACUUGUAAUCUUUGUCAAAAUCAUCAUUGGAUUAUCUAGUUGAUGUAGUACAUCCAAGAAAUUUUAGAGGUCACAUUUCUUUUCCCAUUUGGGCAGUUCAUGAGACUGAGGAUUGUGUUGGUCUCAUACCCCCUGGGAAGUAUGAAUGGCACACUGCACGGCCUGCUACAAUGUGGAGCCCUGUUGAAUGAACCCACAAUUUUGUUUUAGAAAGAAUGGAAUGGAUAUAAUUGAUGAUUUCAAAGUACUUAAUAGCAUUAUUAUUUGACACAAGUUUAUCUUUGAUUCUUUCGCCCUCAUAGUUUUUAAAACUGUUCAUGUUACAUAUACUACAGAUGAUCAAAUCAUUAGUGGUUUGUUUACCAAACAUCCGAUAGAAAAUGAGCUGUGAGUUCAUCCUAUUUUUGUGGGAAAAAUUGGAGUCAAGAUGAUAUUUUGCAUAUGCAGUAAAAUCUGAUAUUUUUAUUAUUCAUUGGUUUUCUGCAAGAAUAAAAUGUUGUUUAUCCCUCCUAGAUUGUAACUUGAUGAUGCUUUGGGUGCUAAUUCCCUCUACUACAAACAUAAUUAUAUGCUCUGUAGAAGCUCUAUAUUCACAUGCAAUUUUUGUACUUUGUUUAUUGUAGACCAAACAUGCAUUGGCAUAUUCAUUAGAAUUCUUUAUACUUCUGUGCUUUGCUUAGUUGGGGAAGUUAGGCACAACCCACCAAGGAAGCAAAAAAGGUCAGUCCGGAGACUAUAGUUGGGGGAUAGGAGAUGACUUAGACCACGGAGUCAAAUAAGAUGGACCAAAUCCACUUGAUGACUUAGAGAUCAGAAGAAGGUGUUUCAGCUUCAGGAAAAAAACAACCUAACUUCAUGGGUCUCCAUCAGAGCAAAGAAAAGAAUGGAAAAGGGAGAAAGGAAGUAAGUUCAACUUUGCUCACUUUACAUUCCAUCAUUCAUUUUAAUGUAAUUAGUUGCAAGAAAAAAAGUUUCUUUAUACCACUGUGCUUUGCUUAGUUGGGGAAGGAUUUUUUUCUUAUGCAAUUGCUCCUGCUUAAUUUAUGUUCAUAUUUGUAUUGUGUAAAAACUGUGUUCUACUACCAACAAUUCUUGGUGUAUCUUAUGACUUUAUGCUAGCAGCAAGAUGAACUUGAACUCCAUAGAGGCAGAUGAUCUUGUAUCUAACUAAAGGCUCUCAAGUAGUAAGCCAUGAUUGAUGAGAGAUGGGUCCCAGAAAAGCAAAUAAGGUAGUGCAACACUAAAUAGAUUCUCAAGAUUGAGCAAACUGAUGAAUGGUUUCAAUUCAACCAGCUGUUUUUCUAACAUGGCCUAAUGCUUCAGAUUCUUGCAUUUAAAUUCAGAUAUCAAUUCAGCUUUGAUUUGAAAUAGAGAACUUUCCUUCCCCACCCCACAACCAAAAAGAAAUUAUUCACCAGAUUGCUGAAGUAACUUCGAUGUAAAGAAUACAUUCUGAGGUGAUGUGAACCUAUGGCUCUCAAUCUUAGAAAACUUCAUAUAGUCAGGUUUCUCAGGCAUUCCCUGCAGAAAUCUUUGUCAGAUCACAGUUGUAUGAUGUCUUGCAAGGAAUGUAGCAGGUGUGAUUUCUGCAUCAAAGGUUUGCGGUGACAUAAAAAAAUUGGUGAGAGACAUGGACAAGAUACCCUCUUGGAUUCAGCCCCUUCUCUCUUGCUUUCAAUGAAAGAAAAGGGCAUAGUUGACAUCAGAAUAUGGAACUACUAGCAUUGUGAGAACAGUUAAUGAAUCCUAAUUGAGAACUCUUAUUUUUCCCAUGCUUGGGAGGGGAGGCCAGGGAAGAGGGCUGUAAAGAUGCUCCUAUUUCCAUGGUGUAUCAGGCAACAUCAGAACUGUCAAAAUCCAUCAUUAAGGUUGUAUGACAGAGGGAUACCAUCCUUCACUCCCUGCUCAUAAAGUUCUAUUAUUAUAACAUAUUAUCCUCUGUUAUUAGAAUGAAGAAAAAUGUUAUUAUAAUUAUUCAUGUUUGAUGAUAAUUAAUCACAAUGAUAGUUUUUAUAACUGUUGAUAGUUAAUUUAUCAAGGAUAGCAGAAACAUAUUAUUUUUUUCGAUAAAUGAUGAGGGAAGAAGAUUGAGUUUAUUUAUUGUUUUGUUUGUAAUCAGACAGGAAAAAUACCUGAGUUGGCACCAAUGCACAGCUACUGGUCAAGUGAAAGUUCCAUGUCUGAUAGAAUUCUAUCUGAAGCAACUACUGGUCAAACUAAAGAAUUAUGCAUCAUAAACCUACUUGAAAGCAGUAAGUCACACCCACAUAUGAAUUAUAUUAUGAGUUAUAUAAUCAGAUUAUCAGGAAGCCAAGAAUAAAAUAUUUUAUUCAUGCUGAAGGCAUUUCCUACCUAAACAGCACUCUCUUGGUGAUAUAGAUGCCACCUCUAUAUAGUAAUGUCUGUAGUAAACUUGUAGAGUUUCUUGAAACUCACUAUCUUAUAUCUCAAUCAUUCAUUUGUUGAUCUAAAGUGGAUGAGUUGUGGUAAGGGAUGAAAUGCCAAUUGAGGCAUAACAUUUGAUUGGACAUUUACGGAUAAAGUAUUGUUUUAAUGUGGACUGUGAGAGCAAUAUCAAAUCGAGACAAAAAUAAAUAUAGAAAAAUAAUUUAAUCAAAUUAGAUGCUCUCAAUUUCCUUACUAUUACAUCAUAAAAUCGUGUGUGUAUAUAUAUAUAUAUAUAUAUAUAUAUAUAUAUAUAUAUAUAUAUAUAUAUAUAUAUAUAUAUAGUGGAAACACCAAAAUUAAAUGGAAAAAAAUAAAUGAAGGCUUUUCUACAUUUCAUUAAUUAAUCCUUUGUUUUCUUAUGGUAGCAAUUGAGCUGAUGCCACAGCAACGGGAGACAGCAAACUACGAGGUGGGGGAAGCCAAGGGGGCGGUGGCAGUCUGGUUGGCGCAGAACACGUCGGCGGGGCCGCCGCCGAUGAGGAAGUGGCCAAGGCUGCGGGUGGCCGCC
Molecule: long non-coding RNA, 3787 nt
Filed under: Musa acuminata (dwarf banana)
Lineage: Eukaryota; Viridiplantae; Streptophyta; Magnoliopsida; Zingiberales; Musaceae
Description: long non-coding RNA (MACU_LNC005954)
Source: RNAcentral